Ribosomal RNA from Talaromyces stipitatus ATCC 10500, 446 nucleotides. It matches the Rfam family "Eukaryotic large subunit ribosomal RNA", at positions 2950 to 3401 of the family's 3401-position model. The record is from Rfam. Lineage: Eukaryota; Fungi; Ascomycota; Eurotiomycetes; Eurotiales; Trichocomaceae.
ACGUGAGCUGGGUUUAGACCGUCGUGAGACAGGUUAGUUUUACCCUACUGAUGAAGAUCGCCGCAACGGUAAUUCAAUUUAGUACGAGAGGAACCGUUGAUUCAGAUAAUUGGUUUUUGCGGCUGUCUGACCAGGCAGUGCCGCGACGCUACCAUCUGCCGGAUAAUGGCUGAACGCCUCUAAGUCAGAAUCCGUGCCGGAACGCGGCGAUGUUGCCCCGCACGUCGUAGUUGGAUACGAAUAGGCCUCCGGGCCACGCACCUCAGCAGGCUGGCGACGGCGGUCCGGGAGAAACCCUGGGCCGCUGGCUGGCGGAUUGCAAUGUCACCACGCGCGGGGAUAAAUCCUCUGCAGACGACUGAAGUGACCAAGCGGGUCAUGUACGCGUACGAGUAGCCUAGUUGUUACGAGUCGCUGAGUGUCAGCCCGACCUUGGCUCGAUUUGU